RNAcentral lists this ribosomal RNA (253 nucleotides) under uncultured bacterium. RNAcentral's name for it is "partial 16S ribosomal RNA". It matches the Rfam family "Bacterial small subunit ribosomal RNA", at positions 524 to 776 of the family's 1533-position model. The record is from RNAcentral.
UACAGAGGGGGCAAGCGUUAUUCGGAAUUAUUGGGCGUAAAGGGCGCGUAGGCGGCCUGGCAAGUGGAAGGUGAAAUCCCUCGGCUUAACCGAGGAACUGCCCUCCAAACUGCUUGGCUUGAGUCCGGGAGAGGUGAGUGGAAUUCCCAGUGUAGCGGUGAAAUGCGUAGAUAUUGGGAGGAACACCAGUGGCGAAGGCGGCUCACUGGACCGGAACUGACGCUGAGGCACGAAAGCGUGGGGAGCGAACAGG